Molecule: long non-coding RNA, 523 nt
Filed under: Marmota monax (woodchuck)
Lineage: Eukaryota; Metazoa; Chordata; Mammalia; Rodentia; Sciuridae
Source: RNAcentral
UGAGCAGCCUCACCUUGGAAAGUAUGGACUGUUGAAAAUGAUCAGCAAGGGAAACUUUGCAAAAGUAAAAUUGACAUAACACAUCCUUACAGGCAGAGAGGCUACAAUAAAAAUAAUUGACAAAACUCAGUUGAAUCCAACAAGUCUACAAAAGCUCUUCAGAGAAGUAAGAAUAAUGAAGAUUUUAAAUCACCCAAACAUAGUGAAGUUGUUUGAAGUCACAAAAAAAAACAAAACACUCUACUUAAUCAACAUGAAGUAUGCAAGUGGAGGUGAAUUUUUUUGACUAUGUGAUUGCACAGAAGAAUGAAGAAAAAAAGAAGCAAGAGCUAAAUUUAGACAAAUCGUGUCUGCAGUACAGUAUUGCCAUCAAAAGCGAUUGUUCACAGAGACCUCAAGGCAGAAAAUCUGUUGUUAGAUGCAGAUAUGAACAUUAAAAUAGCAGAUUUUUGUUUUAGCAAUGAGUUUACUUUGGUCACUAAACUAGAUACAUUUUGUGGGAGUCCUCCAUAUGCAGCCCAAG